RNAcentral lists this unclassified non-coding RNA (26 nucleotides) under Mus musculus (house mouse). RNAcentral's name for it is "oocyte_clustered_small_RNA6965". The record is from RNAcentral. Lineage: Eukaryota; Metazoa; Chordata; Mammalia; Rodentia; Muridae.
UAGAAGAUGAGCCUACACCACACUCA